Molecule: RNA transcript, 5674 nt
Organism: Passer domesticus (house sparrow)
Lineage: Eukaryota; Metazoa; Chordata; Aves; Passeriformes; Passeridae
Gene: MIB2
Gene name: MIB E3 ubiquitin protein ligase 2
Exons: 20
Source: RefSeq, a predicted model, not a curated record
GCAGCAGCACCGCGGGGACGCGGCGGCCGCGGGGACACGGCCGGGCUCCGGGGACACGGCCCGGCUCAGGACAAGGGGCUUUGCUGCAGCCACACCGGGAGGUGCCGGGAUAAAGGCGGAUCUCAGCCCCGGUGCCCAGCGUCACCCGCGUUCUCCGCCCGCCCGGGCGCCGCUGUGGGGAUGGAGGAGGGACGGCGGCGGGCGCAGCGCUGGGCUUGUGGCUCCGGGGAUCCUCGGCUCUGCCUCGGCGCUGAGGUGUGCUGACCAUGCUGCCGCUGAUCCCGCCCGUCUGCGAGACCCCUCUGGAGGAGCACUUUUAGGGUUUGCUCUGCAGAUCCAUGGACCUGGACCCCCAUGCCAGCAUGCAGGUGGGGAUGAGGGUAGUGCGUGGAGUGGACUGGAAGUGGGGCAGCCAGGACAGCGGCGAGGGCAACGUGGGCACCGUGGUGGAGAUCGGCCGCACGGGCAGCCCCACCACGCCCGACAAGACCGUGGUGGUGCAGUGGGACCAGGGCAACAGAACCAACUACCGCACGGGCUUCCAGGGGGCCUACGACCUGCUGCUCUACGACAACGCCCAGAUAGGUGUCCGCCACCCCAACAUCAUCUGUGACUGCUGCAAGAAGCACGGCAUCCGAGGCAUGAGGUGGAAAUGCAAGAUGUGCUUUGACUACGACCUGUGCACCCAGUGCUACAUGAACAACAAGCACGACCUGUCGCACUCCUUCGAGCGCUACGAGACCGCUCAUUCCCAGCCGGUCCUCGUGAGCCCUCGGCAGAAUCUGACUCGCAUCACGUUAAAAGGGACUUUCCAGGGGGCUAAAGUGGUCCGUGGGCCUGACUGGGAGUGGGGCAACCAGGAUGGGGGCGAGGGCAAGAUUGGCCGCGUGGUCGAUAUCCGCGGCUGGGACGUGGAGACCGGCCGCAGCGUCGCCAGCGUCACCUGGGCAGAUGGCACCACCAACGUCUACAGGGUGGGCCACAAGGGAAAAGUGGACCUCAAGUGUACUGUGGAGGCUUCUGGGGGCUUCUACUACAAGGAGCACCUCCCAAAAUUAGGGAAACCAGCUGAGCUGCAGAGGAAGGAGAGCACAGACAGGCAUCCCUUCCAGCACGGGGACAAGGUGAAGUGCCUGCUGGACAUCGACAUCCUGCGCGAGAUGCAGGAGGGCCACGGGGGCUGGAAUCCCAAAAUGGCUGAGUUCAUUGGGCAGACAGGGACCGUGCACAGGAUCACGGACAGAGGGGACGUGAGGGUCCAGUUCAACCCUGAGACCCGCUGGACUUUCCACCCCGGAGCCCUGACCAAGCUCAACACCUUUUGGGUUGGUGAUGUGGUCCGGGUGAUAGAUGAUAUGGAAACAGUGAAGCGGUUCCAACCUGGUCAUGGGGAGUGGACAGAUGAGAUGGCACCUACCCUGGGGCACAUUGGGAAGGUGAUCAAGGUCUAUGGGGAUGGAGAUCUGCGAGUGUCAGUGGGGGGACAGUCCUGGACCUUCAACCCUGCCUGCCUGACAGCCUACCAGAGGGAGGAGGAGGCCAACCUGAUGACCACGGAGAGUGCCAAGGAGUCCAAAAGUACUUUGGUGACUGUCCUGGAGAAGCUGCUGUCCCAGAGGACAGAGUCAGAGCACGCAGGGUGCCUGGUCAUUUGUGCAGCCCUCAACAACGCAGCUAAAAUCCGGGAGCUCCUCCAGAAGUACCCAGACAAGGUGGAUGCCAAGAACCAGGGCAGGACUGCCCUGCAGAUUGCCUCUUACCAGGGGCACCUGGAGGUGGUGAAGACCCUGCUGCAGGCACACGCCAACGUCGACCUGCGUGACGACGAGGGGGACACGGCGCUGCACUACGCAGCCUUUGGAAACCAAGCCGAAGUUGCCCGUGUGCUGCUGGCCAAGGGGGCCAGUGCAGACCUGCUGAACAAUGCCAAGUGCACAGCCCUGUACGUCGCUGUCAGCCAAGGCUUCACCGAGGUGGUGAGAGCCCUCUGUGAGCUCAACUGUGAUGUCAACCUCCCAGAUGCCCGGGGAGACACCCCCCUGCAUUAUGCUAUCACCCUGGACUACAAAGUGGUGAUUGAGAUUCUCACUGAAGUUCCCAACAUCGAUUUCACCGUCAAGAACUGUCAAGGCUUCAACCUGCUCCACUAUUCUGCCCUGAAAGGCAACAAGCUAGCCAUAAAGAAGAUUCUGGCCAGGGCUCGACAGCUGGUGGACUCCAAAAAGGAGGAUGGCUUCACUGCCCUGCACCUUGCUGCCCUCAACAACCACUUGGAAGUGGCUGAAAUUCUCAUCAAAGAGGGUCGCUGUGACGUGAACGUGAAGAACAGCAGGAAGCAGAGCCCGCUGCACCUGGCAGUGAUCCAGGGCCACGUGGGCAUGGUGCAGCUGCUGGUGAGGCAGGGCAGCGACGUCAAUGCCGAGGAUGAGGAUGGGGACACGGCCAUGCACAUCGCCCUGGAGCGCCAGCAGCUCAUGGCCCUGGCCCUGGAGAAGAGGGACGGGGACAUGGGAGGCACCCUGCUGGCCAAGCUGCAGGCUUCUGGCUUGCUGGGAAAUGUGGAGCUGAACGUUGGGACUGCCAUGGCCUGCUACUUAGCACAAGAAGGAGCAGAUAUUAAUUAUGCAAAUCAUCGGGGAAAGUCUCCUUUGGACCUCAUCACAGAUGGGAGGAUUGUCCAGAUUGUCAAAGACUUCUCACAGAAAUUCAGGGAUCAGCAGGUUUCUUCUGGGAGCUCCAGCAUCACCUGCAGCCUUCGCCGUGUGCACACCACGCCCAACACCAUGACCAACCUCAGUGUCUCCAGCCUGGCAGUGCCCACAGAGUGCCUGGUCUGCUCAGAGCUGGCCUUGCUCAUCCAUUUCUUCCCGUGCCAGCACAGUAUUGUGUGUGAAGAGUGCUCCAGGAGGAUGAAGAAGUGCAUCAAAUGUCAAGUGACAAUAACCAAAAAGCUGAAGCAAGACAGCACGGAGGUGGAGUGCAGCCCCAGCUCGGAGGGCACGGAGCAGAGGAAGCUGAUGGAGGAGCUGCAGAGCCGCUACCGGCAGAUGGAGGAGAGGAUCACCUGCCCCAUCUGCAUCGACGACCAGAUCAAGCUGGUGUUCCAGUGCGGGCACGGCUCGUGCCCAGACUGCAGCACGGCGCUGACCGUGUGCCCCAUCUGCCGCCAGGCCAUCCGAGAGAGGAUCCACAUCUUCGUCUGAGCCUGCUCCUCCUGUGCCCCAUCUGCCGCCAGGCCAUGCAGGACAGGAUCCACAUCUUCCUCUGAGGGUGCCCCUCCUCCCUGUGCCCCAUCUGCCGCCAGGCCAUCCGCGAGAGGAUCCACAUCUUUGUCUGAGGGAGUUCCAUCAGCCCCAUCUGCCGCCAGGCCAUGCAGGACAGGAUCCACAGAUUCAUCUGAGGGUGCCCCUCCUCCCUGUGCCCCAUCUGCCUCCAGGAGGGGAUCCACAGCUUCCUCUGAGGGUGUUCCAUCAGCCCCAUCUGCCGCCAGGCCAUCCGCGAGAGGAUCCACAUCUUUGUCUGAGAGUGCCCCUCCUCCCUGUGCCCCAUCUGCCCAGGAGAGGAUCCACAGCUUCUUCUGAGGGUGUUCCUCCACCCCCAUCUGCCGCCAGGCCAUCCAGGAGGGGAUCCACAUCUUUGAGGAUCCACAUCUUCCUCUGAGGAUGCUCCUUCUCCCCCCAUCUGCCUCCAGGCCGUGCAGGAGAGGAUCCACAUCUUCGAGAGGAUCCACAUCUUCCUCUGAGGAUGCUGCUCCUGACUGUUCCAUCUGCCCAGGAGAGGAUCCACGUCUUGGCUGAGGAUGUUCCUCCACCCCCGUCUGCCUCCAGGCCAUCCAGGAGAGGAUCCAUGCUGCUCCUCCCUGUGUCCCAUCUGCCCAGGACAGGAUCCCCAUCCUGGCUGAGGGUGCUCCUCCCCGGCCCCAGCCCUGCUGUGCCUCCUCCCUCCGCAGGGGUUUGGCUCCCUGGGGAAAGGAGGGGAGCACAGGAGGGAUGUGCCAGGGCAGGAGGAGGAGGAGGAGGAGGAGGAGGAGGAGGAGUCCCCUCUGGGGUGUCCAGGGAAGGGACAGCCCCUGCCUCACCUGUGCUGCUCAUCCAGAACCACCGGACCGACCACGCUUCAGAGCUGGGCUGGGCAGAUCCUGGAAUGUUCCAGAGUGAACAGAUCCUGGGGUGUCCCAGAGCUGGGCAGAUCCUGGGAUGUUCCAGAGCUGGGCAGAUCCCUGGGAUGCUCCAGAGAUGAACAGAUCCUGGGAUGUCCCAGAGCUGGGCAGAUCCCUGGGAUGCUCCAGAGAUGAACAGAUCCUGGGAUGCUCCAGAGAUGAACAGAUCCUGGGGUGUCCCAGAGUAGAGCAGAUCCUGGGGUGUUCCAGAGCUGAGCAGAUCCUGGGGUGUCCCAGAGUGAACAGAUCCUGGGAUGUUCCAGAGUGAACAGAUCCUGGGGUGUCCCAGAGCUGAGCAGAUCCUGGAGUGUUCCAGGGCUGAGCAGAUCCUGGGGUGUCCCAGAGAUGAACAGAUCCUGGAGUGUUCCAGAGUGAACAGAUCCUGGGGUGUCCCAGAGCUGAGCAGAUCCUGGGGUGUCCCAGAGAUGAACAGAUCCUGGAGUGUUCCAGAGUGAACAGAUCCUGGGGUGUCCCAGAGCUGAGCAGAUCCUGGGGUGUCCCAGAGCUGGGCAGAUCCUGGGAUGCUCCAGAGGUGAACAGAUCCUGGGAUGCUCCAGAGAUGAACAGAUCCUGGGGUGUCCCAGAGCUGAACAGAUCCUGGGAUGCUCCAGAGCUGAGCAGAUCCUGGGAUGCUCCAGAGAUGAACAGAUCCUGGGGUGUCCCAGAGUGAACAGAUCCUGGGGUGUCCCAGAGCUGAAUAGAUCCUGGGAUGUUCCAGAGUGAACAGAUCCUGGGAUGCUCCAGAGAUGAACAGAUCCUGGGGUGUCCCAGAGUGAACAGAUCCUGGGGUGUCCCAGAGCUGAAUAGAUCCUGGGAUGUUCCAGAGUGAACAGAUCCUGGGGUGUCCCAGAGCUGAGCAGAUCCUGGGAUGUCCCAGAGUGAACAGAUCCUGGGAUGUUCCAGAGCUGAGCUGGGCAGAUCCUGGAACGUUCCAGAGGCAUCCAGGAGAGCUCCCAGCUCCCGGGGAGGUCCCAGGAGCAGCUGGCCCGGCUGCCAGGGACGCAGGGCCAGGGAGGGGCUGUCCCCUGUGCAGCCCGGGCUCAGCUGCUGCCAGGAGUCCUAAGGACAGAGCGUGUGCCUUAGAGAAAAAGUAGUGAACACUGAUUGGAGAAAAUCUGUUACAACAAAUCUCUGACCUCUAAGUGACACUCUUCUUCUUCUUCUUCUUCUUCUUCUUCCAUAUUUUAUUUCAUUUUUUUGGCAGAGCCGUGUGUUCAGAGACUCCUGAGCUUUCUAUCCAUAAUGCCAAAGGCAGGUGUUAAAUACUCCAAUCAAAGUGUAAAGAAAAUAAAUAGUAAUAAUUAAGGUACGAGGGGGAGGAGGGAAAAAAAAAAAAAACAAAAAAGGGAUUUCAUUUUUGUUUCUUUGUUUUGCAGCAAAACUUAAUAAAAUAAAAAUAUCUAUUUUCCUGAGCAUUAAAAAUGAAUGUACAAACAGUAGCUGUAUUGUUUUCCAGCUGAGUGGAGAAUUAUCAGCACUCAGCCAUCCUGUAAAGUAAAUUUUGGUGGAAGUGUG